UACGUAGGGUCCGAGCGUUGUCCGGAAUUACUGGGCGUAAAGAGCUCGUAGGUGGUUUGUCGCGUUGUUCGUGAAAACUCACAGCUUAACUGUGGGCGUGCGGGCGAUACGGGCAGACUGGAGUACUGCAGGGGAGACUGGAAUUCCUGGUGUAGCGGUGGAAUGCGCAGAUAUCAGGAGGAACACCGGUGGCGAAGGCGGCUACCUGGACAGAAACUGACGCUGAGGCACGAAAGCGAGGGGAGCAAACAGG
Molecule: ribosomal RNA, 253 nt
Filed under: uncultured bacterium
Lineage: Bacteria
Description: partial 16S ribosomal RNA
Rfam family: Bacterial small subunit ribosomal RNA
Source: RNAcentral